Molecule: ribosomal RNA, 371 nt
Filed under: Vibrio sp. 03_296
Lineage: Bacteria; Pseudomonadati; Pseudomonadota; Gammaproteobacteria; Vibrionales; Vibrionaceae
Description: bacterial SSU rRNA
Rfam family: Bacterial small subunit ribosomal RNA
Source: RNAcentral
AAGGUGGGGACGACGUCAAGUCAUCAUGGCCAUUACGAGUAGGGCUACACACGUGCUACAAUGGCGCAUACAGAGGGCUGCCAACUUGCGAAAGUGAGCGAUCCCAAAAAGUGCGUCGUAGUCCGGAUUGGAGUCUGCAACUCGACUCCAUGAAGUCGGAAUCGCUAGUAAUCGUGGAUCAGAAUGCCACGGUGAAUACGUUCCCGGGCCUUGUACACAYCGCCCGUCACACCAUGGGAGUGGGCUGCAAAAGAAGUGGGUAGUUUAACCUUCGGGAGGACGCUCACCACUUUGUGGUUCAUGACUGGGUGAAGUCGUAACAAGGUAGCGCUAGGGGAACCUGGCGCUGGAUCACCUCCUUAUACGAUGAU